AUAGUACUCUCUCCGUUCGAAAAUACUCGUCGGAGAAAUGGAUGUAUCUAGACGUAUUUUAGUUUUAGAUACAUCCAUUUUUGUCAAUUUCUUCGACAAAUAUUUUCGGACGGAGGGAGUAGUAU
This is a non-coding RNA of Triticum aestivum (bread wheat), 125 nucleotides long. Lineage: Eukaryota; Viridiplantae; Streptophyta; Magnoliopsida; Poales; Poaceae. The record is from Rfam.